RNAcentral lists this unclassified non-coding RNA (346 nucleotides) under soil metagenome. Its description in RNAcentral is "partial contains 5.8S ribosomal RNA, internal transcribed spacer 2, and large subunit ribosomal RNA". The stretch from base 1 to 120 matches the Rfam family "5.8S ribosomal RNA", at positions 35 to 154 of the family's 154-position model. The record is from RNAcentral.
GAUGAAGAACGUAGCGAAAUGCGAUAACUAAUGUGAAUUGCAGAAUUCAGUGAAUCAUCGAGUCUUUGAACGCACAUUGCGCCCUCUGGUAUUCCGGAGGGCAUGCCUGUCCGAGCGUCAUUGCUGCCCUCCAGCCCGGCUGGUGUGUUGGGCCCCGUCCCCCUUCCCGGGGGGACGGGCCCGAAAGGCAGCGGCGGCACCGCGUCCGGUCCUCGAGCGUAUGGGGCUUUGUCACCCGCUCUUGUAGGCCCGGCCGGCGCCAGCCGACCCCCUCAAUCUAUUUUUCAGGUUGACCUCGGAUCAGGUAGGGAUACCCGCUGAACUUAAGCAUAUCAUAAGCGGAGGA